UAGUUUCUAGGGAGAGAAAAUCUUUUUUUUAAAAAAAAAAAAAUCCUCUAAUCUAGGGUUUAAUCCCUUCGUCCAGGGAGGUGGCCUUCCCCCUCCUCUCCAACUCUUUCCUUUGUGAAGGCUUUCAUAUUGUUUUUAUUUGUUUUAUCAACGGAUCUGGUGUUUAAAGAAAAGAAUUAGAUGCUAGUUUUGCAGUGGAGAAGUGGAUUUAUUGUGGGUUUUAUGGGCUUGUGGUUAUUAUUAUGGAGAGUGGUGGCCAGAGUCCUUUUGGUUGCUUUUCAAUGGCAGAUAUGGAGAGAUGUUAGGGGCUGGAGGCAGGAGUGGAUUGUUUGGAAUCACUAGUGUUCGUAUUUGAGCACGAGAUCUGAUAUAUUUCAGCUGAUUAAUUGGUGGUGUUUUUGCCGGUUCAGAUCUUUUAAAACUAAGCAUCUAUGACAACGAAGUGAAACAAAGAGCCCACAAGUUUCGUGGUAAGCUAGGAAUUGUGACUAACGUCUGACGACGAUAGUUCCUCUCCUCCCGAGAAGACCAUAUUUAGAAUGUUCCCGGCGGAUGGAGGAAAAAAACAAUAUUAAAAUGUAUCGAUGGAGUCCUUUUUUUUUUGGGUUCCCAAGUGAGAUGAAUGUCUCUCGUCUGUAACAGUGAACUCUCCUAGUUUUGAGUUGUUUUUUAUUGACUUCCUGCUUUGUAAAUUGGAUACUAGAUCCGCCAUUAAUUAUAAAAUCUCAUUCUUGUUCAAGUAAUAUUUCGAAAUAACAUUAUUUUAC
RNAcentral lists this long non-coding RNA (767 nucleotides) under Populus trichocarpa (black cottonwood). RNAcentral describes it as "long non-coding RNA (PTRI_LNC002493)". Lineage: Eukaryota; Viridiplantae; Streptophyta; Magnoliopsida; Malpighiales; Salicaceae. The record is from RNAcentral.